UUGAUCCUGGCUCAGGAUGAACGCUAGCGGCAGGCUUAACACAUGCAAGUCGAGGGGCAGCACGAGUGUUUACACUUGGUGGCGACCGGCGCAAGGGUGCGUAACGCGUGAGCAACAUGCCCGUAUCAUGGGGAUAAUCCAGGGAAACUUGGUCUAAUACCGCAUAAUAAAUCUUGAAGGCAUCUUCAUGGAUUUUAAAAUUUCUAUGGAUACGGAUUGGCUCGCGUGACAUUAGCUAGAUGGUAAGGUAACGGCUUACCAUGGCAAUGAUGUCUAGGGGUUCUGGGAUGAAAGGUCCCCACCACCUGGAACUGAGGACACGUCCAGACUCCUAACGGGAGGCAGCGUGAGGAAUAUUGGACAAUGGAUGAAUCUGAUCCAGCCAUGCCGCGUGCAGGAGACGGUCCUAUGGAUUGUAAACUGCUUUUUAUAUGGGAGCAAUAAUUACGUGUAGUUACGAUGAGAGUACUCUAUGAAUAACACGGCUAACUCCGUGCCAGCAGCCGCGGUAAUACGGAGGUGCCAAGCGUUAUCCGGAUUUAUUGGGUUUAAAGGGUGCGUAGGCGGAUGUUAAGUCAGCGGUGAAAUUUUUCGGCUCACCGGAACAUUGCCGUUGAUACUGGCUAUCUAGAAUAUGGUUGCUGUGAGUAGAAUGUGUGGUGUAGCGGUGAAAUGCAUAAUAUCACACAAAUACCGAUUGCGAAGGCAUCUCACAAAGCCAUUAUUGACGCUGAGGCACGAAGUGUGGGGAUCAAACAGGAUUAGAUACCCUGUAGUCCACACUGUAAACAUGAUAACUACUGUUGGCGAUACACCGUCAGUGGCCCACGAAAGCGAUAAGUUAUCCACCUGGGGAGUACGACCGCAAGGUUGAACUCAAAGAAUUGACGGGCCCGCACAACGGAGGAACAUGUGGUUUAAUUCGAUGAUACGCGAGGAACCUUACCUAGACUUGAACGUAGCAGUAAUAAUGUAGAAAUAUGUUAGCUAGUAAUAGACUGUUACGAGGUGCUGCAUGUUGUCGUCAGCUCGUGCCGUGAGUGUCAGGUUAAGUCCUAUAACGAGCGCAACCCUUACACUUAGUGCCACCAUAUAAAGAAUGGGACCUCUAAGCUGGACUGGCUGCUAAGCCAAAGAAGGUGGGAUGACGUCAAUCAGCACGGCCUACGCUCAGGCGAGCACCAGUGCCUAUCACGAUGUGUAUAGGUUAUCACAGGGCAGCUACAUAGUGAUAUGGUGCGAAUCUCAAAAGCCUAUCUCAGUUCGGAUCGGAGUCUGCAACCCGACUCUGUGAAGUUGGAUUCGCUAGUAAUCGCAGAUCAGCCAUGCUGCGGUGAAUACGUUCCCGGGCCUUGUACACACCGCCCGUCAAGCCAUGGAAGCUGGGGGUACCU
Molecule: ribosomal RNA, 1394 nt
Filed under: uncultured Bacteroidales bacterium
Lineage: Bacteria; Pseudomonadati; Bacteroidota; Bacteroidia; Bacteroidales
Description: bacterial SSU rRNA
Rfam family: Bacterial small subunit ribosomal RNA
Source: RNAcentral